CUGGCUCAGGAUGAACGCUAGCGGCAGGCCUAAUACAUGCAAGUCGGACGGGAUCUAGAUCUAAGCUUGCUUAGAUUUAGUGAGAGUGGCGCACGGGUGCGUAACGCGUGAGCAACCUACCCAUAUCAGGGGGAUAGCCCGGAGAAAUCCGGAUUAACACCGCAUGACACAACGACUCGGCAUCAUCUAGUAUUUAAAUAUUUAUAGGAUAUGGAUGGGCUCGCGUGACAUUAGCUAGUUGGUAAGGUAACGGCUUACCAAGGCUACGAUGUCUAGGGGCUCUGAGAGGAGAAUCCCCCACACUGGUACUGAGACACGGACCAGACUCCUACGGGAGGCAGCAGUAAGGAAUAUUGGUCAAUGGAGGGAACUCUGAACCAGCCAUGCCGCGUGCAGGAAGACUGCCCUAUGGGUUGUAAACUGCUUUUGUCCAGGAAUAAACCUACUUACGUGUAAGUAGCUGAAUGUACUGGAAGAAUAAGGAUCGGCUAACUCCGUGCCAGCAGCCGCGGUAAUACGGAGGAUCCGAGCGUUAUCCGGAUUUAUUGGGUUUAAAGGGUGCGUAGGCGGCUUUAUAAGUCAGGGGUGAAAGACGGCAGCUCAACUGUCGCAGUGCCUUUGAUACUGUAGAGCUUGAAUGUGGUUGAAGAUGGCGGAAUGAGACAAGUAGCGGUGAAAUGCAUAGAUAUGUCUCAGAACUCCGAUUGCGAAGGCAGCUGUCUAAGUCAUUAUUGACGCUGAUGCACGAAAGCGUGGGGAUCGAACAGGAUUAGAUACCCUGGUAGUCCACGCCCUAAACGAUGAUACUCGAUGUUGGCGAUACACAGUCAGCGUCUUAGCGAAAGCGUUAAGUUAUCCACCUGGGGGAGUACGCCCCGCAAGGUGAAACUCAAAGGAUUGACGGGGGCCCGCACAAGCGGAGAGCAUGGUGGUUUAAUUCGAUGAUACGCGAGGAACCUUACCCGGGCUUGAAAGUUACUGAAUUAUCUAGAGAUAGAUAAGUCCUUCGGGACAGGAAACUAGGUGCUGCAUGGCUGUCGUCAGCUCGUGCCGUGAGGUGUUGGGUUAAGUCCCGCAACGAGCGCAACCCCUAUGUUUAGUUGCCAGCAUGUAAUGGUGGGGACUCUAAACAGACUGCCAGCGUAAGCUGUGAGGAAGGUGGGGACGACGUCAAGUCAUCAUGGCCCUUACGUCCGGGGCUACACACGUGCUACAAUGGAUGGUACAGCGGGCAGCUACCUGGUAACAGGAUGCUAAUCUCGAAAAGCCAUUCACAGUUCGGAUUGAGGUCUGCAACUCGACCUCAUGAAGUUGGAUUCGCUAGUAAUCGCGUAUCAGCAAUGACGCCUAGGCCC
RNAcentral lists this ribosomal RNA (1355 nucleotides) under Sphingobacterium sp. JAS3. RNAcentral's name for it is "bacterial SSU rRNA". It matches the Rfam family "Bacterial small subunit ribosomal RNA", at positions 19 to 1368 of the family's 1533-position model. The record is from RNAcentral. Lineage: Bacteria; Pseudomonadati; Bacteroidota; Sphingobacteriia; Sphingobacteriales; Sphingobacteriaceae.